GACAGCAGUCGCCGCGGGAAUACGAAGGGGGCUAGCGUUGCUCGGAAUGACUGGGCGUAAAGGGCGCGUAGGCGGUUUAUACAGUCAGAUGUGAAAUUCCUGGGCUCAACCUGGGGACUGCAUUUGAUACGUAUGGACUUGAGUGGAGAAGAGGGUCGUGGAAUUUCCAGUGUAGAGGUGAAAUUCGUAGAUAUUGGAAAGAACACCGGUGGCGAAGGCGGCGACCUGGUCUUUAACUGACGCUGAGGCGCGAAAGCGUGGGGAGCAAACAGGAUUAGAUACCCCGGUAGUCCCUGUCUCUUAUAC
RNAcentral lists this ribosomal RNA (306 nucleotides) under uncultured bacterium. RNAcentral's name for it is "partial 16S ribosomal RNA". It matches the Rfam family "Bacterial small subunit ribosomal RNA", at positions 507 to 807 of the family's 1533-position model. The record is from RNAcentral.